Molecule: long non-coding RNA, 2282 nt
Organism: Brassica rapa (field mustard)
Lineage: Eukaryota; Viridiplantae; Streptophyta; Magnoliopsida; Brassicales; Brassicaceae
Source: RefSeq, a predicted model, not a curated record
GCACAUUAGAUUUUAGACAAUCUAUUGUAUAUCAGGUUGAAUUUGGACUUGAAAACUUAGCAUUGUCAAUUAAGAUUAGAAAUUUAGAGCAUGCCGGCUCAAUGGUGUCAUGGGUUCCGGAACCAAAAAACUUUAAUUUUCAAAUUAUUAUUUUCUUUAAAAAAUCUGAUAGAUAUAUUUAUUUCAAAAUACUAGAAUUAUUUUUAAAAUAAACUUAUACAAAAAAUUAUUUUCAUAUAAAAAAAAUUAAACCCCUUUUCUUUUUCCUAAUAUAAAAAAAAAUGGACUCUUAUCUAUUAAAAAAUAAAAACAACGGAUUGAGUCCGAAACGGUCGCACUGCUUGCCCCCCUAUCUAAACUGACCCUAGAAUUAGCCACUGCGUUACUUAACCAUGAUCUCUCCUUUGUUUGGAAGGGUAAAGUAAACACAUAACAUUCUGUUGGACACAAUCUUUUUUGUACAAUUUUAAAUUAAAUACACUCUUCUAUUAUAAAUUAAUUAUGGAAAUAUUAUACUAUUAUCUAUGUUUUCUAACAACAUAAUAUUUAAUUUUGUGUCCAAAAAAUAUAAGAUUCAUUUUUUUUGUCAACGAGUAGGUCUCAUUUUUUAAUAAUUUUUUUAUUAAUUUUCUUUCAAAUUAUUUAAUUUUAUAAAAUAGUUGACUAAAAAUAUUCAAAUAAUUUAAAUAUUUAAAAUAAUAAUUUCAGUUAAUAUGAAAUUAAUUAAAUUAAUGGAUUUUUAUAUUUUAAUAAAUUAAAACUUACAUUAAUAACCUAUAUAUUUAAAAAUAUCAUUAAAUAAUUUAUAUAAAAGUAAAUACCAACACCCUCACACGGACUUUUGUGGUUCAAGCUCUGGUUUAUAUUACAACCAAAACAUUAGUGGAGGAACAACGGCUUGCCAUUUCCUAAUCUAUACUAUACUAAAAGCAAUAUAUCCUCAAAGGAGAGGGAUGCCAACUCAGAUUAAAAAAUCAGCCAAUAAAAAUAAAUUAUAGUGCCACAUCAUCAUUAUAUUCUCUGUCUCGCGAAUAUCAUCUACGUUUCCUCUUCCUUUUUUUCCCAAUAAAGAUGGUCUUCCUGUUCAUCUUCCUUUCUCUCAGCGUACAAUUUUUUACUCCCACAAACUCUUUGUCUGCCUUUCUUUACAAUCCAAGCUUUAUUCGAUUUGAAACCAAAAGGAUAACUCAAACCCUAUAAAUAAGAGAAGUUUGCGAUUCCAAUCCCCCUACACCGACACCUUCUAAUCUUUCAUCUACUUGCCAAAAGCCAGACGCCUCCUUCAAGAAUGUAUUCCUCUGACGUUGUUGUUGCCCAAUCAGAUAUCACUCAACCUUUGAUGCUCUCCGAUUUGGUAGGACUUCCCAAUACAUUGUUGGUCGUCUCCUCCUUUUCUGUGGUUCGCUGGGAUUCGCGCAACAUAAAAAAAAAAGGGGUUACGGGAAUCAUCCUCCUUUUCCUUGAUGAAAAGGUAUGGUCUUUUCACAAUGUAAAGCAUGAUUUAUUCUAUCUUAGUUUUUAAAUUAAAAAAAAUCUACACUGCGCAUGAUAUAAAGCUUGGAUUGUAAAGAGAUGUUGAAAAACAAAUGUUGACUUCUUCUAGUGAUUGCAUACGCAGAAUUAGGUGAUUCAAAGAUUCAUCCCAUCUGCUCGCGCCGAUCACUACCGUCCAUCUUUAGUGGACGGUUCCAUUAUAAAACUUGAUAGGAAUUUAUGCUUCAGAAAUUCCUGCCAUGAGAGAGUUCACAGCCAGCUUGGGAGGUGCAGCAGGAGAGAUCGGAACACUUUCAUCUCCAACUCUAAUCAGCAGGUAGCGCUCAGGCUUACACUAUAGUUUAAUUGUCCUUUGUCACUUGAAAAUAGCAUUUGCUAUCGUAACUGUAUUGACUUUGUGAAGACGUGAGAAGCUGAUUUCAUUUGCAAAGCGCUGAUUGUUGAGGUCCUCCACCAGAAUGGCAGGCCGUUCGUUGCUUGCAUCGGGUGCAACAGAAGUUGGACAAAUGUGGCACUUCUCUUCGUUGCAACAAAUGCGUUUCUCCCAACGUUACCGGUGUUACCCAGGCAUGCAAUUUACAUUCUCACACACAGUUUAGAUAACACUGAGUUUUAAAAGGAUGUUUAUUUUUCCAAACCUUUUUGCAGAGGUACCGUGUCGAGCUAUCAGUUGAUGACGGCAACGAUAAUGCUAUGUUUGUGGUCUUCGACAUGGAGAAAACUAAGCUCGCUAAGAGAGAUGCUGCUGAUCUGGGUGGGUCAUGAGCUGUAUGUUUUUCUCUUUCACC